CUUUUGAUAGCUUAAUAGUGAAAGUUUUAGAUUUUUACUCUAGAGAUGGUGAUUACCUCAUUGGA
RNAcentral lists this transfer RNA (65 nucleotides) under Nemertopsis sp. WYS-2013. Its description in RNAcentral is "tRNA-Lys". Lineage: Eukaryota; Metazoa; Nemertea; Enopla; Monostilifera; Emplectonematidae. The record is from RNAcentral.